RNAcentral lists this ribosomal RNA (423 nucleotides) under uncultured bacterium. Its description in RNAcentral is "bacterial SSU rRNA". It matches the Rfam family "Bacterial small subunit ribosomal RNA", at positions 355 to 776 of the family's 1533-position model. The record is from RNAcentral.
UGAGGAAUAUUGGUCAAUGGGCGGGAGCCUGAACCAGCCAAGCCGCGUGGAGGAAGAAGGUACAGAGUAUCGUAAACUCCUUUUGUCAGGGGAUAAAAGACGGGACGUGUCCCGUCCUGCAGGUACCUGAAGAAAAAGCAUCGGCUAACUCCGUGCCAGCAGCCGCGGUAAUACGGAGGAUGCGAGCGUUAUCCGGAUUUAUUGGGUUUAAAGGGUGCGUAGGCCGUGCCUUAAGUCAGCGGUGAAAGCCCGGGGCUCAACCCCGGCGAGCCGUUGAUACUGGGGCGCUGGAGAGGAAGAGAGGCAUGCGGAAUUCGCGGUGUAGCGGUGAAAUGCUUAGAUAUCGCGAAGAACUCCGAUUGCGAAGGCAGCAUGCCGGCUUCUUUCUGACGCUGAGGCACGAAAGCGUGGGGAUCGAACAGG